UAUCCGGAAUUAUUGGGCGUAAAGGGCUCGUAGGCGGUUCGUCGCGUCCGGUGUGAAAGUCCAUCGCUUAACGGUGGAUCCGCGCCGGGUACGGGCGGGCUUGAGUGCGGUAGGGGAGACUGGAAUUCCCGGUGUAACGGUGGAAUGUGUAGAUAUCGGGAAGAACACCAAUGGCGAAGGCAGGUCUCUGGGCCGUUACUGACGCUGAGGAGCGAAAGCGUGGGGAGCGAACAGGAUUAGAUACCCUGGUAGUCCACGCCGUAAACGGUGGAUGCUGGAUGUGGGGCCCGUUCCACGGGUUCCGUGUCGAACUAACGCGUUAAGCAUCCCGCCUGGGGAGUACGGCCGCAAGCUAAGACUC
RNAcentral lists this ribosomal RNA (361 nucleotides) under uncultured bacterium. RNAcentral's name for it is "bacterial SSU rRNA". It matches the Rfam family "Bacterial small subunit ribosomal RNA", at positions 542 to 902 of the family's 1533-position model. The record is from RNAcentral.